RNAcentral lists this ribosomal RNA (1980 nucleotides) under bacterium. RNAcentral describes it as "partial 23S ribosomal RNA". It matches the Rfam family "Bacterial large subunit ribosomal RNA", at positions 1 to 2157 of the family's 2925-position model. The record is from RNAcentral.
AAGAAAGCAAAAGGAGGGCGUAUGGGGGAUGCCUAGACUUCUAGAGGCUACGAAGGACGUGAUAAGCUGCGAAAAGCUGCGGGGAGUGGCACAUACACCUUGAUCCGCAGAUGUCCGAAUGGGGCAACCCGAUAGUGUGAAGCACUAUCUUAUAGCAAACGUGGGGAACUGAAACAUCUAAGUACCCAUAGGAAAAGAAACCAAUAGGGAUUCCGCGAGUAGUGGCGAGCGAAAGCGGACGAGCCUAAAGUUGUCGGUGUAGUGGAAGUGGACUGGAAAGCCACACCAAAGAACGUGAAAGUCGAGUACACGAAAUAAAGACAAUGGAAUCAAGUAGGGCGAGACCGGAGAAAUCUUGUCUGAAGAAGGCUGCACCAUCAGCCAAGGCUAAAUACUCCUAGAAGAUCGAUAGCGCAUAGUACUGUAAAGGAAAGGUGAAAAGAACCGCAAGAAGCGGAGUGCAAAGAACCUGAAACCAUACGCCUACAAGCGGUCGGAGCGCAAGUGACGGCGUGCCUUUUGCAUAAUGAGCCUACGAGUUACUCCUAACUAGCGAGUUUAAGUGCUUCAGGCACGAAGGCGGAGCGAAAGCGAGUCUGAAUAGGGCGUGAGCUAGUUGGGGUAGACGCGAAACCGAGUGAUCUAUCCAUGAGCAGGUUGAAGUUUGGGUAACACCAAAUGGAGGACCGAACCAGUUGACGUUGAAAAGUCUUUGGAUGACUUGUGGAUAGGGGUGAAAGGCCAAUCAAACUCGGAGAUAGCUCGUACUCCCCGAAAUGCAUUUAGGUGCAGCGUUCGCAUAAUGUUGUCGUAGAGGUAGAGCUACCGAUAGGGCUAGGGGGUUUCACCACCUACCAACCCCUGACGAACUCCGAAUGCUACGACAAUAAACGAGCAGUGAGGCUACGGGUGCGAAGGUCCGUGGCCGAGAGGGGAACAACCCAGACCAUCAGCUAAGGUCCCUAAGUAAUGACUAAGUUGGAUAAACGAGGUGGGAAUGCACAGACAGCUAGGAUGUUGGCUUGGAAGCAGCCAUUCAUUUAAAGAGUGCGUAACAGCUCACUAGUCGAGCGUUCCUGCGCGGAAAAUAAGCGGGCAUCAAGUCAUUCACCGAAGCUAUGGAUUAAUGGUAGGGGAGCAUUCUAAGGGCGUAGAAGGUCAGUCGUGAGAGUGGCUGGAGCGCUUAGAAAAGCAAAUGUAGGCAUGAGUAACGAUAAAAGGGGUGAGAGACCCCUUCGCCGUAAGACCAAGGGUUCCUCGUUCGAUGUUAAUCAGAACAGGGUUAGUCGGGGCCUAAGGGGAAGCCGAAAGGCGCACCUAAUGGAAAGCAGGUUAAUAUUCCUGCACCUGCAUACAAAAAAAGGGGACGGGGUGAAGUAGUCAGUGCGUACGGACGGAAUAGUGCGCUGAGAGGAUUCCUACGGGGAGAAUCGAACUGAUGAAAUUGCCUCCAAGAAAAGCCGAAGUAUGCAGCUCGUACCGUAAACCGACACAGGUGGUCGAGGAGAGUAUCCUCAGGCGCUCGAGUGAUUCGUGGCUAAGGAACUAGGCAAAAUGGUCUCGUAACUUCGGGAGAAGAGACGCCUCGCAAGAGGCCGCAGUGAAGAGGCCCAGGCGACUGUUUAGCAAAAACACAGGACUCUGCAAAGUCGAAAGACGACGUAUAGGGUCUGACACCUGCCCGGUGCUGGAAGGUUAAGGAAGGGGGUUAGUGCGCAAGUGCGAAGCUCUUAACUGAAGCCCCAGUAAACGGCGGCCGUAACUAUAACGGUCCUAAGGUAGCGAAAUUCCUUGUCGGGUAAGUUCCGACCUGCACGAAUGGUGUAACGAUCUGGGCACUGUCUCAGCCACGAGCUCGGUGAAAUUGAAGUAUCGGUGAAGAUGCCGAUUACCCGCAACGGGACGAAAAGACCCCGUGAACCUUUACUAUAACUUCACAUUGUGCUUGAGUAUAAGAUGUGUAGGAUAGGUGGGAGGCUA